This 519-nucleotide ribosomal RNA is filed under the name uncultured eukaryote. RNAcentral's name for it is "SSU rRNA". It matches the Rfam family "Eukaryotic small subunit ribosomal RNA", at positions 1161 to 1699 of the family's 1831-position model. The record is from RNAcentral.
AGGGCACCACCAGGAGUGGAGCCUGCGGCUUAAUUUGACUCAACACGGGAAAACUCACCCGGCCCGGACACUGAAAGGAUUGACAGAUUGAGAGCUCUUUCUUGAUUCAGUGGGUGGUGGUGCAUGGCCGUUCUUAGUUGGUGGAGCGAUUUGUCUGGUUAAUUCCGAUAACGAACGAGACUCUAGCCUACUAAAUAGAUCGCCGGUUUACAAACACCGGUGAGACUUCUUAGAGGGACAGGCGGCGAUUCAGCCGCACGAAACAGAGCAAUAACAGGUCUGUGAUGCCCUUAGAUGUCCGGGGCCGCACGCGCGCUACACUGAAGUGAUCAGCGUGCAUUUUAAGCCUACUCUGCCAAGAGUGGGAAACCCAAUGAACCUUCUUCGUGAUUGGGAUAGGGGAUUGUAAUUAUUCCCCUUGAACGAGGAAUUCCCAGUAAGCGCGAGUCAUAAGCUCGCGUUGAUUACUUCCCUGCCCUUUGUACACACCGCCCGUCGCUACUACCGAUUGAAUGUUUU